RNAcentral lists this microRNA precursor (75 nucleotides) under Myotis lucifugus (little brown bat). RNAcentral's name for it is "mir-9229 microRNA precursor family". It matches the Rfam family "mir-9229 microRNA precursor family". The record is from Rfam by way of RNAcentral. Lineage: Eukaryota; Metazoa; Chordata; Mammalia; Chiroptera; Vespertilionidae.
AGACACUCUUAUGGGGCAAGACUUGCUUCAGUGGGGCUUUGGUGCUCACUGAGUCUUCCCCCUGAGUGUGUCCCG